This 377-nucleotide ribosomal RNA is filed under the name uncultured bacterium. RNAcentral's name for it is "bacterial SSU rRNA". It matches the Rfam family "Bacterial small subunit ribosomal RNA", at positions 521 to 896 of the family's 1533-position model. The record is from RNAcentral.
UAAUACAGAGGUCCCAAGCGUUGUUCGGAUUUACUGGGCGUAAAGGGUGCGUAGGUGGUCGGGUAAGUCUCAUGUGAAAUCUCCAAGCUUAACUUGGAAAUGGCAUGGGAUACUAUUCGGCUAGAGGAUUGGAGGGGGGACUGGAAUUCCCGGUGUAGCAGUGAAAUGCGUAGAUAUCGGGAGGAACACCAGUGGCGAAGGCGAGUCCCUGGACAAUUCCUGACGCUGAGGCACGAAAGCUAGGGGAGCAAACAGGAUUAGAUACCCUGGUAGUCCUAGCUGUAAACGGUGCUCACUUGCUGUAGACGGAAUCGACCCCGUCUGUGGCGAAGCUAACGCGUUAAGUGAGCCGCCUGGGGAGUACGGUCGCAAGAUUA